RNAcentral lists this ribosomal RNA (465 nucleotides) under uncultured bacterium. RNAcentral's name for it is "partial 16S ribosomal RNA". It matches the Rfam family "Bacterial small subunit ribosomal RNA", at positions 28 to 507 of the family's 1533-position model. The record is from RNAcentral.
GACGAACGCUGGCGGCGUGCUUAACACAUGCAAGUCGAACGGAAAGGCCCUGCUUGCCGGGUACUCGAGUGGCGAACGGGUGAGUAACACGUGGGUGAUCUGCCCUGCACUUCGGGAUAAGCCUGGGAAACUGGGUCUAAUACCGGAUAGGAGCCAUUUUUAGUGUGAUGGUUGGAAAGUUUUUUCGGUGUAGGAUGAGCUCGCGGCCUAUCAGCUUGUUGGUGGGGUAAUGGCCUACCAAGGCGGCGACGGGUAGCCGGCCUGAGAGGGUGGACGGCCACAUUGGGACUGAGAGGCGGCCCAGACGCCGACGGGAGGCAGCAGUGGGGAAUAUUGCACAAUGGGCGCAAGCCUGAUGCAGCGACGCCGCGUGGGGGAUGACGGCCUUCGGGUUGUAAACUCCUUUCGCUAGGGACGAAGCUGUUUGUGACGGUACCUAGAUAAGAAGCACCGGCUAACUACGUG